This 266-nucleotide ribosomal RNA is filed under the name uncultured Staphylococcus sp. RNAcentral describes it as "partial 16S ribosomal RNA". It matches the Rfam family "Bacterial small subunit ribosomal RNA", at positions 96 to 354 of the family's 1533-position model. The record is from RNAcentral. Lineage: Bacteria; Bacillati; Bacillota; Bacilli; Caryophanales; Staphylococcaceae.
CGGCGGACGGGUGAGUAACACGUGGAUAACCUACCUAUAAGACUGGGAUAACUUCGGGAAACCGGAGCUAAUACCGGAUAAUAUAUUGAACCGCAUGGUUCAAUAGUGAAAGACGGUUUUGCUGUCACUUAUAGAUAGAUCCGCGCCGCAUUAGCUAGUUGGUAAGGUAACGGCUUACCAAGGCAACGAUGCGUAGCCGACCUGAGAGGGUGAUCGGCCACACUGGAACUGAGACACGGUCCAGACUCCUACGGGAGGCAGCAGGG